ACUAUAUAUAUAUAUAUACAUCAAUUUAAUAAAAAGUUAUUCCAAGUUAUUCAGAAUAUAUUAGAGUAAACAUGAAGAAUUGGCAAUUAAUUUUAUUAUUUUUGGUAAAUUCUUGUUUGAUAUUUAAUGAAGCAAUUAAAACCAAAUACUCGGACAACGAAAAACUAUGUCAAAAAGGCACAACGUCAAAAGCUGCUAAAUAUGGUGACAUUGAAACAUUAAAAUUAGCUGUCAAGAAUAAAUGCGAAUGGGACGAAGAUACGAUUCAAAUGGCGGCAGAGAAUGGACAUUUAGAUUGCUUAAUAUACCUUCAUAAAAAUAAAUGUGAAUGGGAUGAAUCAGUAACGGCAGCAGCAGCUUUUUAUGGGCAUUUAGAUUGUUUAAAGUAUGCCCAUGAAAAUGGGUGUAAAUGGAACGAAAGCACAACUAGAGCUGCUGCUGUAAAGGGGUAUCUAAAUUGUUUUAAAUAUGCACAUAUUAAUGGAUGCGAAAUAGAUGGAGCUGUCACAGCAAUAGCUGCUUAUUAUGGAUAUAAAGAACUUUUAGAAUAUGCUAACCAAUAUGGAGGUAAAAUAAGUAUAGACACAAUUAGAGCUGCUGCUGGACAGGGACAUUUAGACUGCUUUCUUUAUGCCUAUAAAAGUGGUUGUGUGUGGGAUGAGACGGUAACAGCAGCAGCUGCUUUUAGCGGUAAUAUAAAUAUUUUAAGAUUCGUUCACGAAAAAGAGUUCCCCUGGGAUAAAUAUACAACAAUGAAUGCUGCUUUAAGUGGUAGUAUAGAGUCUUUAAAAUAUGCACAUACAGAACAUUGCGAAUGGGAUGAAACAGUAACGGCAGCAGCUGCUUAUAAUGGGCAUUUAGAUUGUUUAAUGUAUGCACGUGAAAAUAAAUGUAAAUGGGACGAAAGAACAACUAGAGCUGCUGCUGAAAAUGGGCAUAUAGAAUGUUUAAUGUAUGCAUAUGAAAAUGGAUGCAAAUGGGAUGAAAGUACAAUUAGAGUCGCUGCUGAAAAUGGGCAUAUAUAAUGUUUAAAAUACGCUCAUGAAAAAGGAUUUGAAUUUGAUGAAAGCAUAACUAUAGCUGCUGCAUCAAGCGGCUGUUUAGACUGUUUAAUAUAUGUUUACGAAAAUGGAUGUGGAUGUAUUAAGGGUUUAACUAUAGCAGCUGCAUCAAGUGGUAAUAUCGACUGUUUAAAGUAUGUCAACGAAAAGAAAUGUAAUUGAGAUGAGGGUACAACUAGAGCUGCUGCUGCAAGUGGUAGUAUCGACUGUUUAAAGUAUGUCCACGAAAAGAAAAGUAAUUGGGAUGAGGGUACAACUAGAGCUGCUGCAAAUGGACAUUUAGACUGCCUAAAAUAUGCCCAUGAACAUGGGUGUAAAUGGGAUGAAGGUACGACAAGAGAGGCUGCUGCAAAUGGACAUUUAGACUGCCUAAAAUAUGCCCAUAAAAAUGGAUGUAAUUGGGAUGAAGGUACGAUGAGAGAGGCUGCUGAAAAUGGACAUUUAGACUGCCUAAAAUAUGCCUAUAAAAAUGGUUGUGUAAGCGACGUAGACAUAACAAGAAUUGCUGAUUUAAAUAAACCAGUCAGUUACUUUCAUUACAAUUAUGGAGAAAUUGAAUUUAAUAAUAAUUUUGCACAACCAUUAGAUAAAUAUAUUGUUUUUAAAAGUACUCAAAAUGUUUACCCUGAUAUAAUCAAAUAUUGUACUAAAUAUAGAUAUUAGUUUUCUGUUCAAAUUUUUUAUUUCUAUAUUCAUUAAAAUAUUUCUUAGGCGUAUUUUUGACAUUUUACUUGUUUAAAUAAUAUUUAACUUCAUAAUAUAAAAAAAAUCAUAUAUAUUUUAUUAACA
RNA transcript from Daktulosphaira vitifoliae (grape phylloxera), 1850 nucleotides. RefSeq lists it as uncharacterized. The transcript is spliced from 4 exons. The record is from RefSeq and is a predicted model, not a curated record. Lineage: Eukaryota; Metazoa; Arthropoda; Insecta; Hemiptera; Phylloxeridae.